AUGACAAAACGUCAAGCUGUGGAGGCACUUGAUAGAUCCUUGCAAGAUAUUACUGGUGUUCUAUCUCCAUUUGGAGGAAAGGUCAUAGUGUUAGGAGGAGAUUUCAGACAAGUUCUCCCUGUAGUGAGGCAAGGCACAAGAGCACAAAUUACAGAUGCUACACUAAAGAAAUCGUAUCUUUGGCGGUGUAUAAAACAAAUAAAACUAUGGCGUAAUAUGAGAGCACAAUCUGAUCCAUGGUUCUCAGAUUUUCUGUUAAGAAUUGGUGAUGGUACAGAAGAAUCAAUCGGCCAAGAUUAUGUGCGCCUACCAGAUGAAAUUGUUGUACCAUACAUAGAUCCAAAACACUCUGUCAGUAAGUUAAUUAAUGAUAUCUUUCCUUCACUUGGCCAGAAUGGAAUAUCACCAUCUUAUAUUAGUACUCGCGCCAUUCUCUCCACCAAGAAUGAAUAUGUUGAUGAACUAAACGAGAAGCUUAUUGAUCGGUUUCCUGGGGAAGAACAAAUCUACUAUAGUUUUGAUUCAGCAGUGGAUGAUCCACAUAACUACUACCCACCUGAAUUUCUAAACUCACUCACACCUAAUGGCCUGCCUCCACAUGUCCUUCGACUGAAGAUUAAUUGUCCUGUGAUUUUACUUCGCAAUCUAGAUCCUUUUAACGGAUUGUGCAAUGGAACAAGACUUAUUAUCAGAGCAUUUCAAGAGAACGCUAUUGAUGCAGAAAUAAUUCGCGGGCAACAUGCUGGGAAAAGAGUAUUCCUUCCACGAAUUCCUCUAUAUCCUUCAGAAGAUGAUGUACUCCCCUUCAAGUUUAAAAGCAAGCAAUUUCCAAUUCGACUCAGCUUUGCAAUGACAAUCAACAAAGCUCAAGGUCAAACUAUUCCAAAUGUUGGCAUGUAUCUUCCAGAGCCGGUGUUCUCUCAUGGUCAACUCUAUGUUGCUUUAUCAAGAGGGAUGUCAAGACAAACAACAAGAAUACUUGCAAAGCCAAAUAAGGAAAUUGAUCCAUCGGGAAAAAGCACCAAAAAUAUCGUCUACAAAGAUGUCUUGAUGUAA
This 1056-nucleotide ribosomal RNA is filed under the name Triticum aestivum (bread wheat). Its description in RNAcentral is "partial small subunit ribosomal RNA". Lineage: Eukaryota; Viridiplantae; Streptophyta; Magnoliopsida; Poales; Poaceae. The record is from RNAcentral.